Long non-coding RNA from Strigops habroptila (Kakapo), 2772 nucleotides. RefSeq lists it as uncharacterized. NCBI's taxonomy places the organism in Eukaryota, Metazoa, Chordata, Aves, Psittaciformes, Psittacidae. The transcript is spliced from 2 exons. The record is from RefSeq and is a predicted model, not a curated record.
AAAGUGAGAAGAUGCCAUGAUGUGGAAAGUACUACAAAGCAUUGCUUUGGUUUCAGGAUAUAAAACCUGAUUACUUUUUUUUUUUCCCUUUUCCCUCUCAAAUGUAAGCCUUCCUGUAGACCUUUCACAUGAUUUAGCACUAAUGCAGCGCUUCUCCUAGCAGCAGAUCAGCAUGUGUGGUGUUCAGUAGGUGUUUUCCUAAUGCAAAGGAAGUCAUGGCCCUGGGUAACAAUGUACUUUGUGUUUGCUCUGUGUUCUGCAGCUUGGAACUUUCUCCGAGUCUCUUUCUGAGAUGAUGAGCUGGAUGUCUGGAUUACAGUUGCACUUUCACUGGCAUUUUUAGGCAAGCUCAAGCUUACUGUUCUUAUGCUCCAAAUGGGCCAAAAGCCUUGGAGCUGUUACUAGCAUAGUGUGAAGUUUAAGCUGUUGUACUCUGCCUUUCCAAAAACCAUCGUAGUAGUUAUAGCACUCAGCUAACCAUGACUGGGGGUUCUUGGUAGACUCUUGACUGAUGCUUACCCUAUUUGUGUCUUAACUAUAGUUGUGAGGGAUUUCAGCAAAGCUGAGGAUUAGAUUGUGGUUGAUGUUCUCUGUGUGUGUGAUGAAUGAGAUGUCUCCAGUCACCUGUGAAAUCUGGUGAGGAGAGCAGAAAGUCAUGUUCCUCUGUUGCAGCUGGAAAAUGAAAAACAUGGCACAUGAAGUGCAAAACAGACUUUGAGGCUCACAAUUGAACCUGGGUCUUAAGGAGGUUAAAUCCAACCCUUCAUCACAAGUCCAGUCUUCUUCAUGUGAGAAUAACCCAGUGCAAGGACGUUGCUUCCAUAAAAUUGUGCCAGUGUAAAGUCCUGCACUGAUACACUCUGGUGCAGUGUGUACCUUUCACUGAGUGGGGUGCGGUGACAUACUGCUUGGUGCUAUUCUGUCAUGCUGUCUGUUGUCACCUCGUUGCUGAGAUGUAGUAUCUGAGUUUUUCCACAAGUUCUUGUCAUGCUGUUUUCUUCAGCUGCAGCCAAAGGUGUGGCCAGUUAGGAUGCCUUGGAAGGACCUUUGGCUUCUGUGAAGUCUGUUUUGUGAGGGUGUUGUAAAGUGUUAGAUUGUGAGUAAGUCUAUCUCCAAAGCUAGUAAAAUGUUGUAAAAAACCCAAGAAGUGUGGUAUUACAAUGGUAAUUACAAAACUCCUCCACUUUCCUACAGGUAUAACAUGUUGCGUAUUGCUCCACAGAAAACAACUAUGUCUGGAUCAAGUCUGCUCCGGGGUGGGAGGUGGGGAGCACUGGCUGAACAGCAGCUCCAUUUUCCUUUGCAGUCAUCGUUUCCUUUUAUGUGCAGGCACAACUGUAAAUGAGGUGAAUCCGUGAGUCAUAGUGAGCUGACCUGGGUUAAAAAUAACCCUCCAAGCAAGAGAAGCAGUAGCAUGAGGAAGUUAUGCUAAUCCUGUUUUUCCAUGUACACCCUCCAAGAUGUUUUCAACACUGUGGGGCAAGAGCAAGCAGCCAGGCACCAGGGCAAGAACUGGGAGAAAUCUGCUCAUAGGAACUCCCUUUAAUAGGUGAUGCUGCCAGGAAAAAGAUACGUAAAGUAAUAUUCUAACCUACAGUUUAGAAACCGGCAUUCUUUUAUUGAAAGGAAGUCUUGUCUCAAGCACAACAGAGAAAUGCUUGUUCAUAAAGAGCAGAACUUGCUAUUUAAAGGCUAAUGCAUAUUACUUUUAUUGCUAACAAUCUGCUUACCUUAUCUGGUUAUGACAAGUCUGCUCGUAAGUGUUCUAAGAUUUAAUUAAAUCAUGCAAGAAAUGGUAAUAGUAGUGUUAAGGUUCUUAAAUUUCACUCUGUUUCCAUCUAUUAGGGUCUUGUAUCUGCUGAAGUGAGUGUGACAGAAGGCAUUGACAGUACAUCAAUUCUGUGUUAAGAUCAGUACAAGGUGGGAUUGGUCAGGGUGGGUCUUCAUUUUGGUGUUUCUGAACUGCAGGUUUGAUUCUUUAGGGAUUUUUACCCUUUUGCUGUUACUUGCUUAUAGAGCCUCAGGUGAGCAGGCUGUGAGAGUGUAGUGGAACUAAGAGAAACUUUGGCAAUUGUCACUGAAAGAAUUUGGUUGAGUUUAAGGCUAAGUUCAUUGGGCUCUUGCAAACUGAUGACAUUAGGGAUAUGCUGAAGGCUUUUUUUUUUUUUGGUGUUACUGCGUGUGUUAUGUUUUUCUAGUAUCUUUCUUAGAAAUUAUGAUUUUUCUUCUAAUUUUUCCUUGCAGGAAAUGUGUUUUCUUUUUAUUUAGCCCAUGGUCUGAGGAAUCCUUGGAGAUCUCUGUGAAUUGAAACUCUUAAGCUGAAACUGGCAUGUAUAAGUUUUUUCAGGCUUUCUAAAUCUUAGUCUAAAAUGGUUGAGUAACACUCUGCAUUCGUUCCUGCACCCUAGCUGGGUUGAUGUAACUGUGGAACUAGAAAAUAACUUGGGUCAGGAUACAGGGCAGCGUUCAAGUAACUGUUUCCUUUUCUUGCGUGGAGUCCAGUGUUGCUUUGCACGUGGCUGUCUUGGUGGAAACAGCUCAAGAGUGGGGUUGACGCAGAUUAAACAAACUUCUCAAGUGCUCCUCAAACUGUUACAUUUCUGGCAGAAGUUAUCAGCAGUCAGAUCAGGGCUUGCUGCCUUCCUGAAGGUGCUGUGUGAUGCAUAUGGUGGUUGUAUGUUCAGAUUGAUGCUGCUGGUAACUUCAGGUGUUUCUGAUAUCCCAACAAUUUACCUUCUUAGAUUACAGCCAAAUAUCCUGGUGUUUAUAAAA